CGGCAUGCCUAACACAUGCAAGUCGAACGGCAGCAUUAUCUAGCUUGCUAGAUAGAUGGCGAGUGGCGAACGGGUGAGUAACGCGUGGGAAUAUACCUUUUAGUGGGGGACAACUCGGGGAAACUCGAGCUAAUACCGCAUAAGCUCUAUUGAGGAAAGCUGGGGACCUUCGGGCCUGGCGCUGAAAGAUUAGCCUGCGUACGAUUAGCUAGUUGGUGGGGUAAAGGCCUACCAAGGCGACGAUCGUUAGCUGGUCUGAGAGGAUGAUCAGCCACACUGGGACUGAGACACGGCCCAGACUCCUACGGGAGGCAGCAGUGGGGAAUAUUGGACAAUGGGGGCAACCCUGAUCCAGCAAUGCCGCGUGUGUGAAGAAGGCCUGAGGGUUGUAAAGCACUUUCAGUGGGGAGGAAGGUCAAUGCGUUAAUAGCGUAUUGAAUUGACGUUACCUACAGAAGAAGCACCGGCUAACUCCGUG
This 478-nucleotide ribosomal RNA is filed under the name uncultured bacterium. Its description in RNAcentral is "bacterial SSU rRNA". It matches the Rfam family "Bacterial small subunit ribosomal RNA", at positions 40 to 507 of the family's 1533-position model. The record is from RNAcentral.